Long non-coding RNA from Metopolophium dirhodum (rose-grain aphid), 1413 nucleotides. RefSeq lists it as uncharacterized. The record is from RefSeq and is a predicted model, not a curated record. The transcript has 2 exons. Lineage: Eukaryota; Metazoa; Arthropoda; Insecta; Hemiptera; Aphididae.
UCGGACGUCGCUGCUUUGACGUCCGUGGAGACCUUUUUGGGUAUCGUCUAUUGUUUCGACUUCUAUAUUGUACCGGUCGAGAUCCGAGUUACGUGUCGUAUACUCGUAUGUUAUAUUAUAAUCGUCAAUCGCCGUCAUUAAUAAUUGCUGUGUCGCGCGCGUAGUACGUACGUAAUAUUACAUUGUUGUAGCGUAUCGCGUACAUGUUACGUAAGUUCAACAGGCUAAGCCGCCGCCGAUCUAUUUGAGUGUCAGGUAUAGUGCGUUGUACGGGAAGCCGCCGCCGUCCGUUCCACCGUCGACUGAAGGCCGUGGCCGCCGCCGCCGCCGAACUAUUUCCAUAUUAAUUGAGUUAUCAUAAUAUCGGUCUGCGCCGCCGAUCAGCUGAUCGCCUAUAAUUGUCACGUCCAGCCACCUCCGACGACCAUCGCCGCCGCCGCCGCCGCCGCCGCCGCCCGACAAUAACAACAUCAUCGCUGUCGCCGUUGCACUGAGAUAAGGUCUCCCCCGGUGACGAGGACACGAUGACUAGCCAACUGGUGGAGGUAGACUCGGAGGCGCCGGCCCGGAUACUGGGAGUGAUGAAGAAGAACGAUUCGCUGUCGUACGUGUUCGAGGUGGAAGAGGAACCGUCGGAUAUCGCCACUCGGCUGGUGCGCCGGGCCAGCAGUCUGCGGUCGGUGGGCAAGUCACGGACGCGUGCGCGCGGACCGACUGGCGGCGAGAAGCGGUCCCGGGCCAGAUCGCAGUCGGGCGGCGGGUCGUCCGACAAGUCGGUGGAACUGGACUCGGCGCUCACCCGGAACCUGGACGAACUGUUCGCGCCCGGCCCGAACGACCGGUACCUGAACGGCUGUUUCACGUAAAGCUCGGACUCCUCCAACUCGUCACCGGAGCACCACCUCCACAACGUGGUGCAGACCUACGAACAGAACCACGGUCCGUCCUAUGUACAGGUGGUCGCCGAGCAGACCGGCGGUGGUGAUAAGGCCCAGGGCGGUGGGCUGACCAUCGUCUGAGAAGAUAAUAUUUUGGUCGUCUUCGUACGGAUGGGUGACGGGAGGGAUGGAAGGAAAGUCCUGAGGGAUAGAUCCUUAUAAUAUCAUGUUCGCGCACAAUACGCAUUCUCUGUUAGACUUAUUUUUCUCUCGUUAGAUUGUGCCAAAUACCGUAAGAAAGUUGUUCACAAUUCACAAUCCAUGUUUAUAUUAUAAUUUUAUAAUGUGUGUUUAAUGUAAAAAUCAAAAUACCUUUUACUUUUUACCGCUAACGUCGUUUUGAAUUUUUAUUAUGAUUUUAUUUUGUUUUACAAAAGCGCGAGCGUGUGUGUAUUUUUUCUCUAGUAACUCUUAAGACUGAAUUCUUUAAAAAAAAAAAAUUGACCGAGUCUUGGGGAGAAUUUUUUUUUUUUUU